Long non-coding RNA from Taeniopygia guttata (zebra finch), 5180 nucleotides. RefSeq lists it as uncharacterized. NCBI's taxonomy places the organism in Eukaryota, Metazoa, Chordata, Aves, Passeriformes, Estrildidae. The record is from RefSeq and is a predicted model, not a curated record.
AGCGAGAUUGGAGUCCUGCACCAUGGCAAAAUGUUUCUUGGGCAUCUCUUUGCAGAGGCAGCUCUGGUGCUGAGAGCCAGGAGAGCGUGCUCAGCUUGGGAGCAGCCCCAGCCCUAGUGAGAAUCCCACAGGAGGGGCAGAUGGAGCCCAUGGAGCGAUCAGGCUAUGCUGCAGGGCUGUUUUGGCAGGAGGUAUGAGCGUCUGUUACCAGCCCUGGGGGAAACAGAGGGAGAUUUCACUGGAUGGAGCUGAGGAGAAGGAAAAGGCUUGCUUGCAGCAUGCACCUGGGAGCCUUUGUGCCUCCAUCCUUCUGCUGUUCAUCCCCACAUGCCUCUGCUUGCUGGCACCAGCUUUUAAGGAAAAUCACCUUAAUUUUGUCCCGAUGUAAAGCUGUCGAAUCAGCAGAACUGAGCAAGUUAUUUAUUCAGGGAGCAGCUGUGCAAUGGCCAAGUGCAAGCUGCCUCCAUGCACCUACAGCAGGCACCUUCCAGCAUGGAACAGUGCCUGGCUGUGCUGCUGGUACCUGCUGAGAAAGAGCUAAGCUGUCUUUGAACACCUGCAACCCCUGCCCCACUCACAUGGGAGAUGGAAUAAACAGCAAACAGCAAGUGCCCUUUUGGGCCCAAUAUUCAUUUGGACCACCACACGUGGGCUCCAAAGGUUUUCCAUUCUUCUAACAGUCCCUAAGAGCCAUCAUUAACCAGCACAAAGGGGAGUCACAGAGGUUACAUCAGCUCCUCCUUAGCAGCAUCACUCCAUGGGCUCAAUUCAGGGCAGAGAAGUUUGACACAUAUUACCUGUGUCCCAAAAUCAGGGUGUGUUCUGGAGAGAGAGGCAGGCUUCCUGGCACACCUGGGCUGCAGGAAAAGCCACAGCCCAGCAGGGACUCUGGGGGGAAAGCAGUGACACCAUCUCAUUUCCACAGCUGGCUUGUUCAUAGGCAGACAGCUGUGCUCCUGCAGGGGAAAUGAUCCCCAUUAGCUUUCCAGGUGCUCUCUUGUAAACGGACUACAGGUGGUACAGCAGUGUCUGACUGCAGUCCAGGGCUUUGUCUCUCUGAAAAAAAGCCCUCUGUGUUAUCCUCCCACCCCCAUCUGCUCCCCCUUGUAAAGGAAGAGGGAGACCAUCCAGGAGACAAGAAAACACACAUACAGCAAGGGUGAUUGCUAUUUUAAGAAUGUACUUUAUACAAAAUAACCAAUUCAUAUGGAAAUAAAAUCUACAGACCUCCAAGGAUCAAGAUUUUAAAAAAGUUCUUUAAAAAAAUUACCCAACACACAGUAUUAAACUAACUAUUGAGGUAACUGUCGCUCUUGGGGAACAAAGGUAAUCAGCAGACCAAGACAAAAUAUACACAAUAUAAAAAUAAAUAGCAUUCCCCUUUCCAGUAUUGACCAGGAAAGUUCACACAACUUUGCAGCAGCAGGAGAGAGAAGAGGAUCCCUGACACUGUGCUCUACAGGAUGGGGAGGGAGGCAGAGGCUCCUGGGCUGCAGGUGAUGGAGAGGUGCAACCCCUGCUGGGGACAGAUGUGCUGGGAUGAGCAGGUCCAGCAUGAACUCCUUGAGCAGAUAAACUGAGCCCAUCAGUCCAACUUUUCCCAAACAGCAUCAGCAGCUGUUCAGCCCAGUUGCCAAUUGAGCUGAGGACAAGCAAGCCCAGCCCUCGACUGUUACAUCCCAGCACACCCAGCAAAACAUGCCAGUGCAGAGCCCCACUGCAGAGGUCAGAUUUCCCCCACUGAGGGACACAGGCAGAGGCAUUUUCACAGCUUGGUGUGGGAAGUCUCUGCAGCAGCCUCAGCUCACCCUCCUGUCACCCUGGGACAGCUGCAAGCCAUUGAUAAGGGCCAGGCUUUUGGCCCCAUGGCCACUAGACCCCUCCCUGCCCAACAACAAAAAGCACAGCAACAUAAGAACAGCCUCACCCAAAAAGAGAAAGGCCCCCGUUUUCUCCUUGUGCCCCCGACAGACAGAUUACAUUCUUUACAAACUUACAAUAAUACAAAAACAACCGCAACGUUACCCAGCUUCAGAAAAAUGAAUGGAUGUAGUGGCACAGGCUCCCCCACUCCCUUCCCAGCAAUGCCAAGUGAAGCAGCAGUGAGUCCCUCUCCUCCCUCAGAGGCAUUCAAUCAGUGGCCCACCCACCCCUCUUCCAUGUGCUGGAUGGAUGGAUGGAUGGAUGGAUGGAUGGAUGGAUGGAUGGAUGGAUGGAUGGAUGAGGCUCAACUUUACCCAGCUGCUCCCUUCCCAAACACAGAAGCAGCAACCAGCUCUCUCAUAGUUACCUUAAUCAACCCACUAGUCUCUGGGAAAGCAGGAACGUGGCAUGAUACAAUGCAGGGUCACAGAGCACACCUUGCUUCCCACUGAGACUGUGAAGAGCCCCCCAGUGUGUUCCAUAGCCACCUUAGCCCUAAAACAGUAAAGGAAGGUGUAAGUUGCAUUGCUGCAUGUAAUUAUUGCUCAGAAAAGGAUCAGGCAGCAGCGUUCAUUGAUCCAUCAAGGAGGAGACAGGAGUUUUCACAGCUGUACACAGUAUAUGCACAGGCAUUUUUAACCUAAACCCUCUUGGAGGUAGACAUGCCAGGAUCAUGUGUGGGAUCAUGGCAAAGGACAGAGGGACUUGCUAGAGUUGGUGAAAAUCCCAAUUAAGCCUCAGUCCUAAUUAAUCCUUUGUCUCCUCUUUCCCUGGUGGAUGUAGCUCUCUCCUGGAUCCGCUGUUCACUUUGAUAUCCACGUAGCAAAAAGAGGAAGACCAUUGCCAAAAGAAAUCUAGGCCAUGGCUGCAAAUGAAGGAAAAAAGCCCUCAGUCAAUGCAAGACCAGCAGUGUUAGAUCUACAAAACACUCCACGGUCUCUCAAAUUCUGCAUGUCAGCCAAGGGGUGGACUGAGCCUUGCCCUGGUUGUCCCCAGGAGCUCUGCAGCAAGGGGAACCAGGACCAACUACACCAUCACAGAUUCCACCGCUGGUCUUCUCCAAGCCACCCUUUGGGAUGACACUUCCCUGUCACUCAUUUCAGCACCUUCUCUGAAAUUCCAGAGAGCAUACAGCAACGCAGUCUUUUCAGAAAAGGAAAGCAGAACAAAGCCAUCAAGAACAAAGAAACCACCCUGUUUGAACAGAGAGAUGGACAAAAGCCUGACAGGGAUCAGUGAAGAAAAUAAAGAAAGGCUGUUUUCUAAUUAUACUUUCAUUUUAAAUGGAGAAGUGUUGGGGUGAGAACCUGCAGGGGAGCUGCCUCAGUCAGCAGAAUAAAAGACAGCCUCUGUGACUUGCUUUCAGAUAAGACAUCAUAAAGCUGAUAGCUCUCCAAGACCCUGAGAAACCACACUUACAAAAAUAUACACAGGCGAUUUGCUCCAGAAAGUCUGCAUGGGAAAGGCAUUUGGCAGACAAGAAAGAAUCAGAAGCUUCCAAGAAAAGUGUCUCCAUGUACCUCAAAGUCACAAAUCAAACCAGUUGGGCCUUGAAGCUUCAAAUUUACUUUCCUCUUUUGUCCUCCUCAUUGCAGGCUGGUGCCUUGGAUUGCUACAGAGUGGUUUGGUGGGUCACACCAUGGAAUUUAUAGACUGCAAACUUCUCCUAAGUUUGCUAAAAGUCACAGUGAAGCCUCAGUGAUUCCCUUUCCAGUUGAAUUGCCAGGGCUUGUAUCACCUAAGAUGCCAAAAGAUUCAGAGUCUCAGGGGGGUUUUAUACAACAGCAUUUGCAAAGGCAACUUGACAUCUAGGAAGCUUGGGAACACCACACACCACUUAGAAAGGAGGAAGUGGCAGGGAGAGCAAGAGGCUAAAAAGGUAGAGUAGCAUACAAAGCUCUUCUGAGAGCAUAGGAAAUUUUUGUUGUGCUUGAGCAGGGUCAAUUUCAUAAUUGUUCUAUGUGUUAUAUAAUCUCACUUAAUACAAAAUCUGUAAUUAUAGCAAAACACAUCCUCCAGAUGGGAAAAGUAAUAGCUACAGGAAAUUUUGCAAACUCACUAGUCCAGGAUGCUUUCUGAAAAAGGACCACCUGGUAAUAUACUGUACUACAACAAUGCUGGGGAAUGCACUGGAGCUUCUCUGUAAUGUGUUAAAAGUUUAAGAUAGUGGCACAAGUAUGGCACUUAAAAGCCAUGUUAUUUUAAAGUGCAGCCACACUUCUCCUGCACUGCAAGCCAACUCGUGGCACAAAACACCACUCUGUACAAUAACAGCUGUGAUGCUACUCUUCUAAAUCCCUCAAACCUAUCUUCCACAAUAUCUACAAAGCAGCAUGGUUUGGAAAUAAUAGAAUUCACAUUAUCUGUUCCUCUUUACAUUUGCACGGGUAUUCCAGCCCAGCAAUCCUCUCCCAGGGCUGUGUCAUCUGAGGGGAGUCAGUUUUCAGAGAUUUGCUCAGAUUGUACCUAGCGAAAUUAAGCUCUGAUUUUCAGGGGAUCCCUAGAUGUUGUAGAAGGGAAAGAAAAACCCCCAACCCUCACUUUGAAAGUCUGGAAACUCUAAGAUUCCACCAGCAUCUCUCCACCUCAGUGUGUCCUGUCCUCAGGAACACCCAGCCACAGUUCCCUGUAUUCUUUAUAAGUACUUUUCUAACAGAAACCAUCUGUCCUCACAACAGCAGCUUGUUAGCUACUUUAAUAAAAAUUACUGACUACAUCAAAAGCUAUUUACCUAGAAACCCUCCAGAGGAGUCAGUUUCACUGCUUGGUUUUGUCUUUCACACCUGCAAGUCAAACCCUUCUCCCAGAUUUACCUCAUGUCAGGUGAGGGUAUCUAUCACUGUCUAACACUUUACUACCCUCUCUAGACAGACCAAAGCAAUUCUUGCCAUCCUUAGUUGUCUCCUGUUUUGACUGAGGCUUGGUACUCACCCAGAGGUCAUGACCACUAGAACCAUGUUUUUUCAGUGCCAGUUCCAGCUGAAGUGUGUUUCAGCUUGGAGAGUUUUUAUAGCAUCUAAAAACUCCUGUUCCACAGCAUUCACAAUGGGCUGAAUGAGAGGCCCAUUCAAAUAUUCAGCUGGCUGUGAUACAGAAGACAGGCUGAAGUAAGGCAGGGCUUUUUUGCAGAAUCUACAUUCACAUUUCCAGAGUUGUCAAUACUUUGCUACAAGUUAUAUUUUCCAGUUCCUCUGUUUUUAAAUGUUAUUUCCAAUCAUUUUUAUAUCUAUAGUGAAGUAAAGACUAUUUUACAAGGA